UUUCUCAGCCGCCAACCAACCUCACCAUUCACGAGAGGAUUUUCAUUGAAAUUACUGUUGAUCUUGAAGCAUCAAGAACUAGAGAGUUAAUUACUUCAGGGAUUGAUGGAUGAUUGUCACAAAUGGUGGUUCAACAUUGAAUGAUUUUCAAGAACAUUUUGUCUUUUGAUCUAUCUUGCCA
This is a long non-coding RNA of Dioscorea cayenensis subsp. rotundata (Guinea yam), 181 nucleotides long. RefSeq lists it as uncharacterized. The record is from RefSeq and is a predicted model, not a curated record. The transcript has 3 exons. NCBI's taxonomy places the organism in Eukaryota, Viridiplantae, Streptophyta, Magnoliopsida, Dioscoreales, Dioscoreaceae.